RNAcentral lists this non-coding RNA (30 nucleotides) under Rattus norvegicus (Norway rat). The record is from RNAcentral. Lineage: Eukaryota; Metazoa; Chordata; Mammalia; Rodentia; Muridae.
UNGAAACCCUGCUGAUGUGGGCUUACUCUU